Molecule: ribosomal RNA, 456 nt
Filed under: Paenibacillus montanisoli
Lineage: Bacteria; Bacillati; Bacillota; Bacilli; Caryophanales; Paenibacillaceae
Description: bacterial LSU rRNA
Rfam family: Bacterial large subunit ribosomal RNA
Source: RNAcentral
AUGGUUAAGCUACUAAGAGCGCACGGAGGAUGCCUAGGCGCUAGGAGCCGAUGAAGGACGUGGCGAACGACGAAAUGCCUCGGGGAGCCGUAAGCAGGCUUUGAUCCGGGGAUGUCCGAAUGGGGAAACCCGGCUGGAGUAAUAUCCAGUCACUAUGCAAUGAAUACAUAGUUGCAUAAGAGGCAUACCAGGGGAACUGAAACAUCUAAGUACCCUGAGGAAGAGAAAACAAUAGUGAUUCCGUCAGUAGCGGCGAGCGAAAGCGGAUUAGCCCAAACCAGGGAGCUUGCUCCCUGGGGUUGUAGGACGUCUCACAUGGAGUUACAAAGGUGUUGGCUAGGCGAAGAGGUCUGGAAAGGCCCGCUAUAAGAGGUAAAAGCCCUGUAGCCAAAAGUCAGCACUCUCCGAGACGGAUCCUGAGUACCGCGAGACACGUGAAACCUCGUGGGAAUCCGG